GGUUAAGUCCGCACGAGCGCAACCCUUGUCCUUAGUUGCCAGCAUAAUUGGGCACUCUAAGGAGACUGCCGGUGUUAAACCGGAGGAAGGUGGGGAUGACGUCAAGUCCUCAUGGCCCUUAUGUCCAGGGCUACACACGUGCUACAAUGGCCGGUACAAAGGGCUGCAAUACCGCAAGGUGGAGCGAACCCCAAAAAGCCGGUCUCAGUUCGGAUUGGAGUCUGCAACUCGACUCCAUGAAGUUGGAAUCGCUAGUAAUCGCGGAUCAGCAUGCCGCGGUGAAUACGUUCCCGGGCCUU
This 299-nucleotide ribosomal RNA is filed under the name uncultured Pelobacter sp. Its description in RNAcentral is "partial 16S ribosomal RNA". It matches the Rfam family "Bacterial small subunit ribosomal RNA", at positions 1078 to 1382 of the family's 1533-position model. Lineage: Bacteria; Pseudomonadati; Thermodesulfobacteriota; Desulfuromonadia; Desulfuromonadales; Desulfuromonadaceae. The record is from RNAcentral.